RNAcentral lists this ribosomal RNA (406 nucleotides) under uncultured bacterium. RNAcentral describes it as "partial 16S ribosomal RNA". It matches the Rfam family "Bacterial small subunit ribosomal RNA", at positions 29 to 526 of the family's 1533-position model. The record is from RNAcentral.
AUUGAACGCUGGCGGCAGGCCUAACACAUGCAAGUCGAGCGAGCGGCGGACGGGUGAGUAAUGUCUGGGAAACUGCCUGAUGGAGGGGGAUAACUACUGGAAACGGUAGCUAAUACCGCAUACCAUCAGAUGUGCCCAGAUGGGAUUAGCUAGUAGGUGGGGUAACGGCUCACCUAGGCGACGAUCCCUAGCUGGUCUGAGAGGAUGACCAGCAACACGGGAACUGAGACAGGGUACAGACUCCUAGGGGAGGCAGAAGUGGGGAAUAUUGCACGAUGGGCGCAAGCCGGAGGCAGCCAUGCCGCGUAAGGGAAGAAGGCAUUCGGGUUGUAAAGGAAUUUCAGCGGGGAGGCGUUACCCGCAGAGGAAGCAGCGGAAAACUCCGUGCCAGCAGCCGCGGUAAUUC